UACGAAGGGUGCAAGCGUUACUCGGAAUUACUGGGCGUAAAGCGUGCGUAGGUGGUUUGUUAAGUCUGAUGUGAAAGCCCUGGGCUCAACCUGGGAAUUGCAUUGGAUACUGGCAAGCUAGAGUGCGGUAGAGGAUGGCGGAAUUCCCGGUGUAGCAGUGAAAUGCGUAGAGAUCGGGAGGAACAUCUGUGGCGAAGGCGGCUAUCUGGACCAGCACUGACACUGAGGCACGAAAGCGUGGGGAGCAAACAGG
RNAcentral lists this ribosomal RNA (253 nucleotides) under uncultured bacterium. Its description in RNAcentral is "partial 16S ribosomal RNA". It matches the Rfam family "Bacterial small subunit ribosomal RNA", at positions 524 to 776 of the family's 1533-position model. The record is from RNAcentral.